Long non-coding RNA from Zonotrichia leucophrys gambelii, 436 nucleotides. RefSeq lists it as uncharacterized. Lineage: Eukaryota; Metazoa; Chordata; Aves; Passeriformes; Passerellidae. The transcript has 3 exons. The record is from RefSeq and is a predicted model, not a curated record.
GCCUCUGCAACCUCUCUCCUUAUUGUUUUUAGUAUAGUUAUAAUGUAUUAUAUAUCAUAUAUCAAUAAAUCCAGCCUUCUGAUCAUCAACUGAGAUUCUCAUCCAUCUCUCUCACCAUAAAGACCUCUUCAGUGGAGUCGAUCAUGAGUAAAGAGAAAACAGUAAGAUACAGUCAAAACCAGGAGAAGAAAUGAACCCAACAGGAGUCAGGAUGAACUGUAAAAAAAGAAGAGUCUCCAGGCAGCUACCAGCACCUACGAGAGGAACAGAAAACAUGGUGAGAGAACAAAUAUCCCCCUACUCGCUGCUGAAAGAGGGGAGCCUCUUGAACAACCCAGCUGUGGAGCUCAGCACUCCCAGCCAGCUCACCCCGGGAUGGAGAGACCUCAUCCCACGGAGCUCCCGCAGCCCCAGAAGCAGCCGGGCUGUACCUGCG